GGAUGCGAUCAUACCAGCACUAAUGCACCGGAUCCAUCAGAACUCCGAAGUAAGCGUGCUUGGGCAGAGAGUAGUACUAGGAUGGGUGACCCCCCUGGGAAGUCCUCGUGUUGCAUCCC
RNAcentral lists this ribosomal RNA (119 nucleotides) under Ipomoea nil (Japanese morning glory). Lineage: Eukaryota; Viridiplantae; Streptophyta; Magnoliopsida; Solanales; Convolvulaceae. The record is from RNAcentral.